UACGUAGGCAGCGAGCGUUGUUCGGAGUUACUGGGCGUAAAGGGCGCGCAGGUGGCGGUGUUGGCCCGGCGUGAAAGCCCCCGGCUCAACCGGGGAGGGUCGUCGGGGACCGCACCGCUUGAGGGCGGUAGGGGCUGGUGGAAUGCCUGGUGUAGUGGUGAAAUGCGUAGAGAUCAGGCGGAACACCCGUAGCGAAGGCGGCCAGCUGGGCCGUCCCUGACACUGAGGCGCGAAGGCGUGGGGAGCGAACGGG
This 253-nucleotide ribosomal RNA is filed under the name uncultured bacterium. RNAcentral's name for it is "partial 16S ribosomal RNA". It matches the Rfam family "Bacterial small subunit ribosomal RNA", at positions 524 to 776 of the family's 1533-position model. The record is from RNAcentral.